Molecule: ribosomal RNA, 448 nt
Filed under: uncultured bacterium
Lineage: Bacteria
Description: SSU rRNA
Rfam family: Bacterial small subunit ribosomal RNA
Source: RNAcentral
AGAACGAACGCUGGCGGCAGGCUUAACACAUGCAAGUCGAACGCUCGUAGCGAUACGAGAGUGGCAGACGGGUGAGCAACACGUGGGAACGUUCCCCUCGGUUCGGAAUAACUCAGGGAAACUUGAGCUAAUACCGGAUACGUCCGCGAGGAGAAAGAUUCAUCGCCGAGGGAUCGGCCCGCGUCUGAUUAGCUAGUUGGUAGGGUAACGGCCUACCAAGGCGACGAUCAGUAGCUGGUCUGAGAGGAUGACCAGCCACACUGGGACUGAGACACGGCCCAGACUCCUACGGGAGGCAGCAGUGGGGAAUCUUGGACAAUGGGCGCAAGCCUGAUCCAGCCAUGCCGCGUGAGUGAUGAAGGCCUUAGGGUUGUAAAGCUCUUUCGGACGGGGACGAUAAUGACGGUACCGUAGAAGAACGCCCGGCUAACUUCGUGCCAGCAGCCGC